AUGCCCAAAUCAGGAUAUGCAGGGAGGUCGGCCCUUGUGCAGGGUGAAAAUCAGCACCAUGACAGUGAAAGACAACCUCCUGGCGGCUGGUGGUUUCCAUGGGGAGCAGAUCUGCAAUGCAUCCCACCGCCGAUCCAUAUCCAGAUCAGCUGCGUCGCCGGUGCCGGUUCUACACAUAGGCCAGGGGAAAUGACUACCAUUCCAGGGUCUCCGGUCUGGGAGCUCGUGAAGAAGAACAACUACUUCUUGAUCAAGCAGUUCGGCAACAACACCAAGGUGCAGUUCAGCAAGGAGCCCAACAACCUCUACAAUGUCCACUCCUACAAGUUCUCGGGCUUGGCGAACAGCAAGACCGUGGCGGUCCAGCCAUCAGCGGGAGAGGACAAGGCUGUUGUCCUAUCCACGACCAAGACCAAGAAGCAGAACACCCCUGCCAAGCUCCAGCACAAGACUCUGAUGCGCAAGGAGUUCCACAAGAUGACCAAGUCUGUCAAGAACCAAGUAUUAACUCCAGAGUUUUGUACUUGA
This 528-nucleotide ribosomal RNA is filed under the name Triticum aestivum (bread wheat). Its description in RNAcentral is "partial small subunit ribosomal RNA". Lineage: Eukaryota; Viridiplantae; Streptophyta; Magnoliopsida; Poales; Poaceae. The record is from RNAcentral.